RNAcentral lists this transfer RNA (66 nucleotides) under Antheraea pernyi (Chinese oak silkmoth). Its description in RNAcentral is "tRNA-Tyr". It matches the Rfam family "tRNA". From Rfam's summary of the family: Transfer RNA (tRNA) molecules are approximately 80 nucleotides in length. The record is from RNAcentral. RNAcentral also lists the same sequence under 1 other name. Lineage: Eukaryota; Metazoa; Arthropoda; Insecta; Lepidoptera; Saturniidae.
AAUAAAAUGGCUGAGGUUUAAAGCGAUAAAUUGUAAAUUUAUUUACGAAGAAAUCUUCUUUUAUUA